This 30-nucleotide non-coding RNA is filed under the name Mus musculus (house mouse). Lineage: Eukaryota; Metazoa; Chordata; Mammalia; Rodentia; Muridae. The record is from RNAcentral.
UAUAUUUCCNGGCUUUUAUCCCUGAGGGCA